AGCAUAAUGAGAGCGCUGACAUUUUUAUUUUCGUGUGUUCGUUUUUUUCUUACAUUUCCAUAUGAUGAU
RNAcentral lists this transfer RNA (69 nucleotides) under Bacillus subtilis subsp. subtilis str. BSP1. RNAcentral's name for it is "tRNA-Glu". Lineage: Bacteria; Bacillati; Bacillota; Bacilli; Caryophanales; Bacillaceae. The record is from RNAcentral.